This 672-nucleotide ribosomal RNA is filed under the name Erwinia sp. RNAcentral describes it as "bacterial SSU rRNA". It matches the Rfam family "Bacterial small subunit ribosomal RNA", at positions 780 to 1452 of the family's 1533-position model. Lineage: Bacteria; Pseudomonadati; Pseudomonadota; Gammaproteobacteria; Enterobacterales; Erwiniaceae. The record is from RNAcentral.
AGAUACCCUGGUAGUCCACGCCGUAAACGAUGUCGACUUGGAGGCUGUGAGCAUGACUCGUGGCUUCCGGAGCUAACGCGUUAAGUCGACCGCCUGGGGAGUACGGCCGCAAGGUUAAAACUCAAAUGAAUUGACGGGGGCCCGCACAAGCGGUGGAGCAUGUGGUUUAAUUCGAUGCAACGCGAAGAACCUUACCUGCUCUUGACAUCCACGGAAUUUGGCAGAGAUGCCUUAGUGCCUUCGGGAACCGUGAGACAGGUGCUGCAUGGCUGUCGUCAGCUCGUGUUGUGAAAUGUUGGGUUAAGUCCCGCAACGAGCGCAACCCUUAUCCUUUGUUGCCAGCGAUUCGGUCGGGAACUCAAAGGAGACUGCCGGUGAUAAACCGGAGGAAGGUGGGGAUGACGUCAAGUCAUCAUGGCCCUUACGAGCAGGGCUACACACGUGCUACAAUGGCGCAUACAAAGAGAAGCGACCUCGCGAGAGCAAGCGGACCUCACAAAGUGCGUCGUAGUCCGGAUCGGAGUCUGCAACUCGACUCCGUGAAGUCGGAAUCGCUAGUAAUCGUGGAUCAGAAUGCCACGGUGAAUACGUUCCCGGGCCUUGUACACACCGCCCGUCACACCAUGGGAGUGGGUUGCAAAAGAAGUAGGUAGCUUAACCUUCGGGAGGGCG